This 449-nucleotide ribosomal RNA is filed under the name uncultured bacterium. RNAcentral describes it as "partial 16S ribosomal RNA". It matches the Rfam family "Bacterial small subunit ribosomal RNA", at positions 29 to 523 of the family's 1533-position model. The record is from RNAcentral.
AGCGAACGCUGGCGGCAGGCCUAACACAUGCAAGUCGAACGAACUCUUCGGAGUUAGUGGCGGACGGGUGAGUAACACGUGGGAACGUGCCUUUAGGUUCGGAAUAACUCAGGGAAACUUGUGCUAAUACCGAAUGUGCCCUUCGGGGGAAAGAUUUAUCGCCUUUAGAGUGGCCCGCGUCUGAUUAGCUAGUUGGUGAGGUAAAGGCUCACCAAGGCGACGAUCAGUAGCUGGUCUGAGAGGAUGAUCAGCCACAUUGGGACUGAGACACGGCCCAAACUCCUACGGGAGGCAGCAGUGGGGAAUCUUGCGCAAUGGGCGAAAGCCUGACGCAGCCAUGCCGCGUGAAUGAUGAAGGACUUAGGAUUGUAAAAUUCUUUCACCGGGGACGAUAAUGACGGUACCCGGAGAAGAAGCCCCGGCUAACUUCGUGCCAGCAGCCGCGGUAA